RNAcentral lists this transfer RNA (75 nucleotides) under Escherichia coli. Its description in RNAcentral is "tRNA-Gly". The stretch from base 3 to 68 matches the Rfam family "tRNA". From Rfam's summary of the family: Transfer RNA (tRNA) molecules are approximately 80 nucleotides in length. Their secondary structure includes four short double-helical elements and three loops (D, anti-codon, and T loops). The record is from RNAcentral. Lineage: Bacteria; Pseudomonadati; Pseudomonadota; Gammaproteobacteria; Enterobacterales; Enterobacteriaceae.
GCGGCUGUAGUUCAAUGGUAGAACGAGAGCUUCCCAAGCUCUAUACGAGGGUUCGAUUCCCUUCAGCCCGCUCCA